RNAcentral lists this long non-coding RNA (665 nucleotides) under Coturnix japonica (Japanese quail). RNAcentral's name for it is "lncRNA (ENSCJPG00005017929.1)". The record is from RNAcentral. Lineage: Eukaryota; Metazoa; Chordata; Aves; Galliformes; Phasianidae.
ACUCAUCAUAAUUUUUUUCUUCAGAUCAGAAAAGUGAAGGGGUUUCUUUGUUUAAUCAUUUUAAUAGAACAAUUAUUCUUUUAUUUUUAAAUAUAAUUUUCAAGUGCAUUAACUUCUUGUGACAGGUGCUGUUUUGACAGUCGUGGAGAAUUAAGUAAUUUUCUACCCAAUAAUGCAAAAUUGUCAGUCAAAGAUUUCUUUAUCUGCUGCCCUUAGACAUUCCAGCUUCAUUUUGGAGUGACCAUUCCUAAAAGCAAAAAGACAGCAGUGACUCUGGACCACUUCUUCUGCUGAGAUCAAUUGUCUGUUAUAGUUCUUUACUUUGGACUAAGCUGAAGUUCCUGGCUCAUUUCUUGUCUCUGAAGAGCAUGAAGGAAACAUCAAACUUCUCCAUUAGGGAUGGAUGUGAUAAAUGUUAAUGAACAUGCAAAGUGCACCUCCUAUCUCGAAAUGCAAGAGAAGAUGGCGUUGAGCUGGAAGAGUGCGAUGGAACUUAAGAUAUUUGGACAGACCCAGCCACAGGAGAUGAAGCUUAAUUUCCCAUGUGUACGUAUAUACUUUCCUUCUUAUGGGUCACUUCAGCAGAACUUCAUACCAUAUGUAGUAUGUAUAGAAGUACACAGUGACAAACCUUUCCAUGCUGGAAACAACUUGAUACACUGAAG